CGGAGCUUGCUCCACCGGAAAAAGAGGAGUGGCGAACGGGUGAGUAACACGUGGGUAACCUGCCCAUCAGAAGGGGAUAACACUUGGAAACAGGUGCUAAUACCGUAUAACAAUCAAAACCGCAUNGUUUUGAUUUGAAAGGCGCUUUCGGGUGUCGCUGAUGGAUGGACCCGCGGUGCAUUAGCUAGUUGGUGAGGUAACGGCUCACCAAGGCCACGAUGCAUAGCCGACCUGAGAGGGUGAUCGGCCACAUUGGGACUGAGACACGGCCCAAACUCCUACGGGAGGCAGCAGUAGGGAAUCUUCGGCAAUGGACGAAAGUCUGACCGAGCAACGCCGCGUGAGUGAAGAAGGUUUUCGGAUCGUAAAACUCUGUUGUUAGAGAAGAACAAGGAUGAGAGUAACUGUUCAUCCCUUGACGGUAUCUAACCAGAAAGCCACGGCUAACUACGUGCCAGCAGCCGCGGUAAUACGUAGGUGGCAAGCGUUGUCCGGAUUUAUUGGGCGUAAAGCGAGCGCAGGCGGUUUCUUAAGUCUGAUGUGAAAGCCCCCGGCUCAACCGGGGAGGGUCAUUGGAAACUGGGAGACUUGAGUGCAGAAGAGGAGAGUGGAAUUCCAUGUGUAGCGGUGAAAUGCGUAGAUAUAUGGAGGAACACCAGUGGCGAAGGCGGCUCUCUGGUCUGUAACUGACGCUGAGGCUCGAAAGCGUGGGGAGCAAACAGGAUUAGAUACCCUGGUAGUCCACGCCGUAAACGAUGAGUGCUAAGUGUUGGAGGGUUUCCGC
Molecule: ribosomal RNA, 784 nt
Filed under: bacterium LGM70
Lineage: Bacteria
Description: bacterial SSU rRNA
Rfam family: Bacterial small subunit ribosomal RNA
Source: RNAcentral